GUUUGUGACAGAAAUGUACGGUAACGAGGACGGCUCGGUCCCGGCCACCUUUGAUAUCCUCUACAUGAUUGGCUGGAAGCCUCACCACUCUCAGGCAAAAGCAGCCAAACGAGGCUCGGCGACCGUCUCCUUUGGAGAUUUGUCCAAAAUCAACCGAAACGGUGAUGAC
Hippocampus comes (tiger tail seahorse) is the source of this 169-nucleotide long non-coding RNA. RefSeq lists it as uncharacterized. The transcript is spliced from 2 exons. The record is from RefSeq and is a predicted model, not a curated record. NCBI's taxonomy places the organism in Eukaryota, Metazoa, Chordata, Actinopteri, Syngnathiformes, Syngnathidae.